Molecule: long non-coding RNA, 1436 nt
Organism: Brassica oleracea var. oleracea
Lineage: Eukaryota; Viridiplantae; Streptophyta; Magnoliopsida; Brassicales; Brassicaceae
Exons: 2
Source: RefSeq, a predicted model, not a curated record
GUGGAAGUUUGCAACAGAGUCUAAAGUUUUUCCUCUCUUCUCCUCCUGCAAGAGGUACCUAUGUAAAAAAUCAAGACAAAAAACAGUAGAGGUUAUGAUUAUAUGAUUCAUGUUAACCAUUAGAUAUACAAGAAUGAACAUACCUAGCACAAAACCACAUAAGAAUAGGUUCUUAAACUGGAAAUAUACAAGGUGAAGUAGCCCAAUAGCAGUUCUUUUGUGAUAGAAGGUUUAAUAGAACUUCCAUUGCGUUGCUACCGGAAGAAGAAUCACUGCAUAAACAAGAAUCGUUGAGUUAAUGCCUUGAACAAGAUUUGAUAAUAGCAUAAAUGAAGUGCAUUGAUUAAAAAAGCUUCUUAUUCUGACGGACUCAUAAGGGUUUGUUCCUCUUCUGGUAGUAAUACAUUCUCGCUGAAUGAAGUUGAAUUGCUCUGUGUACCACCGCCCUCAUCUUCACCAAAUCUUGAUGUGAGAUGAGAAGUUUGAGAGGAACCAUUGCAUGAAUUCAGGGAUGGGGCUAAGUGUUGCAAAUGUCUGCAUCGACGACCUAUUCCUAAUAUCUUCUUUUGAGAUCCAAAAGGUCGCUGAUAGGAUGUUACCGCCUUAUGAAUAAUAACGCAUUGUUAGAUUAAAAAAUGUUGUUUAAAAUAUUAGUGUAUGGAACUGCAUACCUCAUAAGCGACCUUAGUGUAUGGAACUGCUUCUCAAGCAAUGAAGCAGAAUCAUCCCAAGUAAUGUGAUAAAGCUCUAAAGUAGCAGGACUAAGCCACAUCCCUAGCUUCUCCAUAGUAUUAAUAAAAGUUUCACCACAUUUCCAAAUUUAUUGAUAGUAGCUAUUUUUUUGUUUGUAAAUUUCCCCUAUUAUUUUUAGUAGCAAUAUUUGGUGAUAAAAUAUAGUACUAAUUACACCUUGUAUAUUUCCUUGAGUAAUAAAAAAAAAAAAGCUAAAGAAAAACGAUUGUUCCAGAUUUUAUGGUUGAUUAUAGCCAUCAUCUAGUUGGACUAUAAAAAGCGAUGAAGAGUAACUUCAUUUCAUCAAUCAUUAAAAAAUCAUUUACGUGAAGAAUGAAGACCAUUUCCCUUAAAUUAUUGUUAUUGGCUUGUCUUGUUGUCGUCAUUUUCCGUCAGAAUCUUGCAGUGGGGAAUUUUUGUAAGAACAACAAUGACUGCAAAAAGUUAUGUGGAGGCUAUUGCAACAAUAUUCGUGAAAGUUGUGUGUGUCAUAAUUUAAACAAUAUAAAUGCAAUAAACCUUGGUUCUUCUAACGAUCCUUGUAUCCCAGAACAUCCCGGUUGUCGUGGAGGUCCUCCACCAAAACAGUUGAAAGUGUAAUGAUAAAACUAUUGUAUUUUGAUCCCCAAAAAAACUAUUGUAUAUGUCUGACAUAGUAUAUGUCUGACAUAAGUUAUUUGCUGAAUAAAACAUAAUUUCAUUUA